RNAcentral lists this ribosomal RNA (253 nucleotides) under uncultured bacterium. RNAcentral's name for it is "partial 16S ribosomal RNA". It matches the Rfam family "Bacterial small subunit ribosomal RNA", at positions 524 to 776 of the family's 1533-position model. The record is from RNAcentral.
UACGUAGGGGGCAAGCGUUGUCCGGAAUCAUUGGGCGUAAAGAGCGUGUAGGCGGUCCGGUAAGUCGGCUGUGAAAGUCCAGGGCUCAACCCUGGGAUGCCGGUCGAUACUGCCGGACUAGAGUUCGGAAGAGGCGAGUGGAAUUCCCGGUGUAGCGGUGAAAUGCGCAGAUAUCGGGAAGAACACCCGUGGCGAAGGCGGCUCUCUGGGACGGUACUGACGCUGAGACGCGAAAGCGUGGGGAGCGAACAGG